UCCUAGUAGUCUACACGUCUCAAUACACCUGCUUAAAUGUAUGUUUUUCUAUCAACAGUUAAACUUAACAUUUUGUUAACAAAAAGUAAGUUUCAUUUUCAAAAUAUUUUGAAAUCUCUCCAGUAGGUUGAGUUCAAAAAAUCCCAGGGGUGGGGAGGUGGAGAGCCAAAGGCCUCCUGCAAGCAUCACAGAUAAUACAGGUUCUGAAGGAAAAGACAAC
This 220-nucleotide long non-coding RNA is filed under the name Bos taurus (domestic cattle). RNAcentral's name for it is "long non-coding RNA NONBTAT001554". The record is from RNAcentral. Lineage: Eukaryota; Metazoa; Chordata; Mammalia; Artiodactyla; Bovidae.